AUUGAACGCUGGCGGCAGGCCUAACACAUGCAAGUCGAGCGGAUGAAGGGAGCUUGCUCCUGGAUUCAGCGGCGGACGGGUGAGUAAUGCCUAGGAAUCUGCCCGGUAGUGGGGGAUAACGUCCGGAAACGGGCGCUAAUACCGCAUACGUCCUGAGGGAGAAAGUGGGGGAUCUUCGGACCUCACGCUAUCAGAUGAGCCUAGGUCGGUUUAGCUAGUUGGUGGGGUAAAGGCCUACCAAGGCGACGAUCCGUAACUGGUCUGAGAGGAUGAUCAGUCACACUGGAACUGAGACACGGUCCAGACUCCUACGGGAGGCAGCAGUGGGGAAUAUUGGACAAUGGGCGAAAGCCUGAUCCAGCCAUGCCGCGUGUGUGAAGAAGGUCUUCGGAUUGUAAAGCACUUUAAGUUGGGAGGAAGGGCAGUAAGUUAAUACCUUGCUGUUUUGACGUUACCAACAGAAUAAGCACCGGCUAACUUCGUG
This 484-nucleotide ribosomal RNA is filed under the name uncultured bacterium. RNAcentral's name for it is "partial 16S ribosomal RNA". It matches the Rfam family "Bacterial small subunit ribosomal RNA", at positions 30 to 507 of the family's 1533-position model. The record is from RNAcentral.